GAUGAACGCUGGCGGCGUGCUUAACACAUGCAAGUCGAACGGAAAGGCCGAACCUUGCUUCGGUACUCGAGUGGCGAACGGGUGAGUAACACGUGGGUGAUCUGCCCUUUACUUCGGGAUAAGCUUGGGAAACUGGGUCUAAUACCGGAUAUGACUCUCUCUUGGAUGGGGUUGUGGAAAGCUUUUGCGGUAUGGGAUGAGCUCGCGGGCUAUCAGCUUGUUGGGGGGGUAAUGGCCUACCAAGGCGUCGACGGGUAGCCGGCGUGAGAGGGUGUACGGCCACAUUGGGACAGAGAUACGGCCCAGACUCCUACGGGAGGCAGUAGUGGGGAAUAUUGCACAAUGGGCGCGAGCCUGAUGCAGCGACGCCGCGUGGGGGAUGACGGCCUUCGGGUUGUAAACUCCUUUCGCAAUCGACGAAGCCUUUUGGUGACGGUAGGUGGAGAAGAAGCACCGGCUAACUACGUG
Molecule: ribosomal RNA, 468 nt
Filed under: uncultured bacterium
Lineage: Bacteria
Description: partial 16S ribosomal RNA
Rfam family: Bacterial small subunit ribosomal RNA
Source: RNAcentral